GUGCUUGCUUUGGCCGCACAUGUCAUAAAUUUGAACCAAUAAAGAGAUUAGUUUGACCCUUGUGCAAGGAUGGCAUGCAGAUUCUUGGGGCAGUUCAUGCUUUU
Erinaceus europaeus (western European hedgehog) is the source of this 104-nucleotide small nuclear RNA. Lineage: Eukaryota; Metazoa; Chordata; Mammalia; Eulipotyphla; Erinaceidae. The record is from Ensembl.